This 72-nucleotide transfer RNA is filed under the name Camelus bactrianus (Bactrian camel). It matches the Rfam family "tRNA". Rfam says of the family: Transfer RNA (tRNA) molecules are approximately 80 nucleotides in length. Their secondary structure includes four short double-helical elements and three loops (D, anti-codon, and T loops). RNAcentral also lists the same sequence under 2 other names. Lineage: Eukaryota; Metazoa; Chordata; Mammalia; Artiodactyla; Camelidae. The record is from Rfam by way of RNAcentral.
GAGGGUAUAGCUCAGUGGUAGAGCGAGUGCUUAGGUGGCAUGAGGUCCUGGGUUCAAUCCCCAGUGCUUCCA